This is a long non-coding RNA of Ficedula albicollis (Collared flycatcher), 1280 nucleotides long. RefSeq lists it as uncharacterized. The record is from RefSeq and is a predicted model, not a curated record. Lineage: Eukaryota; Metazoa; Chordata; Aves; Passeriformes; Muscicapidae. The transcript has 6 exons.
CCGGUGCCGCGGCUGCGAGAGGUGCUGGUGUGUGCUGAAGGCUGGCGGUGGCUGUGCUGCCGAAGGCCAGCCUGCCGCGUCACAGACCCUCCUCGCGGCUUGAUGUCAUCGUAGCUCUCUCACUGCACAAACAGCCAAGUGUGGUGGGCUUCAGGUGCCGUCACCUCGGUCUCGAAUGUCCGUGCUUACCGACCGAGCCCCCCUCACGCGACUCUGUACGCACAGCACACGUCUGCCUCACGUAUCCGAGAUUUUUGACCAGUCUGCUUUAGCAGCACCGUUCCAGGCUGCAAACGACGGCCCUUCUCCCUGUGAAACAGAACUCAGCCUCUCAGGUUAAUACUAUGAGUUUGGAGGAGGCGUUGGGUGCUCCAAAGGCAGCCAAGGUUGUGCCCUGGAUGGACAUCUGUGGUCUCAGACAGCGAUUCCCUAGGAGGAAGGGGAGCCUUUGCCUCACCUGCAGAGCUCAGGACAGGAAAAAUCAUUACACCGAUCCCAUCUUUGCCAAAAGCUGUGGUGUUUGAGCAGCCAAAGCCAAGAGGCUUCAGCACCGGGGGUCUUCGCUGGAGGGCUCCUGGUCCUGCCCGUGCUGUGGGCAAGAGGAAAUGGGGUGCCAGAGCCGUGUCCCAUCAGGCUGCGUUUCCCUCUGAGGACAGAGAGUCUGGGCUGGGGCAAGAUUGCCACGAGCGCUUGGUGGGAUUUGUGCUGGAGAGAGAAGUGCUGUCGGGAACAAAAGGUGGAGUAAAUCCUCUCCGGGGAUGUGCAGCAAAGGACCGAAUAGUGUGGAAGGAGAGUAUUUGUAAUCUCUAUUGCUAGUUCUCCCAAAAUUGAGAUGGAGCAGUGAUGGGGGUGGUUGGGUUUGGUCUGGGCCUGCUAUUCUUUGUGCAAUUUUUAAUUGUUGUACAAUUUACUGUCCAGUAUCUUUCUAACAAAAGCUGUCAGAAAUUUAGGUUGAGGAUUAGAACUUGGGUGCAUUCACUGCAAAAAUUUGCCAAGGCUGGAGGACUGGAGUGAUGACUGUCCCCAGGAAAGCGAGAACACCAACUCACAGUCCCCUGCAUGCAGUGAGAGCUCAGCACACAUGCGCAGAGCCAAGGCCAGCAUCUGAAAGAAGAAAAAAACAGAAGAAAAAGGUGACUUCUUUUACUUUAAAGUUUUUUCAGAUUCUUGAAACCCAAGCAACAUUUGCAGUUUUGGUUGGGUGAAUCACGGGCAGUGGACACGGGUCAGGCCAUUCAUUUAGCUGAAAACCCAGGGUAAUUUAGAGGGGCACGAGAAUU